RNAcentral lists this ribosomal RNA (462 nucleotides) under uncultured bacterium. RNAcentral describes it as "partial 16S ribosomal RNA". It matches the Rfam family "Bacterial small subunit ribosomal RNA", at positions 28 to 507 of the family's 1533-position model. The record is from RNAcentral.
GAUAAACGCUGGCGGCGUGCUUAACACAUGCAAGUCGAACGAAGUUUUUCCUUCGGGAGCAACUUAGUGGCGGACGGGUGAGUAACGCGUGGGUAACCUGCCCUGUACAGGGGGACAACAGCUGGAAACGGCUGCUAAUACCGCAUAAGCCCUUAGCACUGCAUGGUGCAUAGGGAAAAGGAGCAAUCCGGUACAGGAUGGACCCGCGUCUGAUUAGCCAGUUGGCAGGGUAACGGCCUACCAAAGCGACGAUCAGUAGCCGAUCUGAGAGGAUGUACGGCCACAUUGGGACUGAGACACGGCCCAGACUCCCACGGGAGGCAGCAGUGGGGAAUAUUGCACAAUGGAGGAAACUCUGAUGCAGCGACGCCGCGUGAGUGAAGAAGUAUUUCGGUAUGUAAAGCUCUAUCAGCAGGGAAGAAAAUGACGGUACCUGACGAAGAAGCACCGGCUAAAUACGUG